CAAUACGUGAGGAAAAAAACUCACGGGGUGGAAACAAGGUCACACUCCCGCUGAGUUUUCGGAA
This 64-nucleotide non-coding RNA is filed under the name unclassified sequences. RNAcentral describes it as "Cyano-1 RNA". It matches the Rfam family "Cyano-1 RNA". RNAcentral also lists the same sequence under 1 other name. The record is from RNAcentral.